AUUGGGCUCUAUGUAGUGCGGGAGUUCUCAAACUGGGGUUUAGGUCCCGUCAAGGGGCCGCAAGGUUGUUAUCUGGGGGGUUGUGAAAUGUCAUCCUCCAUCCUAAACAUCACUUUGCUUCCAGCAUUUAUAAUGGUGUUGAAUAUACAAAAAGUGUUUUUAAUUUAUAAGGGGAGGGUCACACUCAGAAGCUUUCUAUGUAAAAGGGAUCAUCAGUACAAAAGGUUGAGAACCACUGGUGUAGUGAUAGUUCUUGCUUGCCUUUAUUAGUUUGCAGAGGAAUUGUCCAGGAGUCUCAGCUGGAGAAGAAGCUGGCAGAAGUGGACCUGAACUGCCUGGACAUCCUUCUAAGGAGACAUGAACAGUCCUCAGCUUUCUGCAUUCUGGAUAACUGGCUAUGAGUAAGAACAGUCACACAUCAGAGUCUACUGUCCUCAUGCGAUGGAAAGUGAGUGAGAGCAGCGAGCCUGUGAGCAUUGUUCAUGCCAGGCAACAGACGUCAAUGUGGGGGUCGAGCAGACGCCACUUUUGCAGAGGAAUCGUCCAGGAGCCCCAGCCGGAUGAGAAUGUCAGAAGUGGACCUGAGCAGCCUGGACAUCCUUCUAAGGAAACAAGAAUAGUCCUCAGGUUUCUGCCUUCUGCAUAACUGGCUUACCAAGAAAAAAGACGUCACAUGUCAAAGUCUACUGCCCUUAUGAGUGAGAGUGACGAGACUGAGAGCGUUGUUGGUGCCAGGCAGGAGCCGUCCAUCUGGGAGCAGAGCAUCUGCUACUAUCACUGAGAUAAGUAUCUGUUUUGGUGAGGGUUCUGCUCACGACCCACCUGGCUACAGGUAGAGACACCCCGUUAGGUGGAGUGGGUUUGUACGAAAAGGUUCCUGACUAGCUGUGGUUUUGAGGGAGACACGGUCCCCAUUUUCAGGGGCUGAUUUCUCUGGCCAGGAUCGGUGUGUCCUCGGCAGGAGAAGGUUAGAUCCAUGAGGGAUGACUCCAGGUGGUGAGUUGCUUGCCUUCCUCCUCUGUUUCUCUCUCUGUCUUCUCUACUCUACUGUGUUGGCCAACACACACUCUCUCUCUUUCUCUCUCUCUUGGCUGUCUCCCUUCAUAGGGCAUGGGCAGGAGUGCUAUGUGUGCAUCCCCUCAGGCUAGGUCUCGGGAGCUAUGAACAAGUAGGAGGGGACGAAAAUCAUGCAUCGUAGUGGGCGCUAGAGUGGAGGGGUGACUGUGGAUGUUGACUGUCUCUUUUCAAGUGGGCCUGAUGUAGAUAGGCAGGGAUGAGGGCAAGAUUACCUGCACCAGUUGAAUUUUGUGUAGUGAUGGCUCUUGCUUCGCUCAUUUCCUGUGCUUGCAGAGGAAUUGUCCAGGAGCUGCAGCUGAAGGAGAAAGUGGCAGACGCGGACCUGAGGAGCCUGGACAUCCUUCUAAGCAGACAUGAAUGGUCCUCAGAUUUCUGCCUCCCGCACAACUGGCUGAGAGUAAGCGGUCAGUGCUUGGAAUCCCUCAUCUGUACUGGCUCCGGUUUUGUUCAGAGGCUCUGAAUUUCUUCAUUGGACACAGUGCUCUGUGGGAUUCAGACGAGGCAAAGGCACAAGUCUCCUGUGCAGAUGCUGGGUUUAGUACCAAGUGGAGAAUCAGAGUCCACUCCGCACAUGCCAUGGAAAGGGAGCGAGAGCUGGGAGAUUCUAAGCAUUGUUGAUGCCAGGGAAGAGCCAUCCAGCUGGGAGUGGAGCAAGGACCACUGUCCGUGAGAUAAGUGUCUUGUUAGGUGAAGGCUCUGCUGUGGUUAGGAGGGAGACAAGGUCCCUAUUUUCAGGGGCUGCUCAGUCCUCUGGCCAGUAUCGGUGAGUCCUCUGCAGCGGAAGGUUGGAUCCAGGAGGAUGACUCCAGGUGACAAGUUGCUUGCCUGCCUUCCUCCCGUGUUUCUCAUUUUCUCGCUCUCUGUCUCUCUAGUGUGUUGGCCAAUGCGCUCUCUUAAUCUGUCCUUUCCUUUCCUUGUGCCAUCUCCCUUCUUAGGACACAGGCAGGCCUGUGAGGUGUGCAUCUCCACAGGUUAGGUCUUGAAAGCCCUGGAGUAGUAGGAGGGGACGAAAACCAUGCGGGGUAGUGGGUGUGAGAGUGGAGCAGUGACUGUCAGUGUUGAAUCGGUCUCUGUUCAAGUGGGGCUGAUGUAGAUGGGGUGGAAGAGGGAGGCAGGAUUGAGGGCAACAUUUUCAAGUACCAUUAGAGCUGUGUGUAGAGAUGGCGCAUGCUUGGCUUUUGCAGCUGCACUUCCAGAGGAAUUGUCCAGGAGCUCGAGCCAGAGGAGAAACUGGCAGAGGUGGAUCUGAGCAGCUUGGACAUGUUCUAACCAGACAGGAACAGCCUCAGCUUUCUGCCUUCUGAACAACUGGCUGUGAGUAAGAGUACCAAGGAAAAAUAAGUCACAUGUCAGUCUACUGCCCUCAUGCAAUGGAAAGUGAGUGAGAGCAGCGAGCCUGUGAGCAUUGUUCAUGCCAGGCAAGAGCCGUUCAUUUGGGAGCCAAGCAGAUGUCACUGUCAGUGAGAUAAGUGUCUGUUUUGCUGAGGGUUCUGUUAUCAGCCAAUCUGACUCCAGGUACAGACACCCUGUUAGCUGGGGCUGAUUUGUCAGAAGAGUUUCCUGACUAGCU
Mauremys reevesii (Reeves's turtle) is the source of this 2647-nucleotide long non-coding RNA. RefSeq lists it as uncharacterized. The transcript is spliced from 6 exons. The record is from RefSeq and is a predicted model, not a curated record. NCBI's taxonomy places the organism in Eukaryota, Metazoa, Chordata, Testudines, Geoemydidae.